UAUUUUGACUAUACGAAGGUAUUGAAAUAAGGCUUUUAUUGAGUGCUAAGAGAAUGGCUAUACAGAGAUUAGCUUUCUUUAAAUUUAUAAUAGAAUUUAAUUUAAAAAUGAAAAAGUUUUUAUGAUUUUUUGGGACAAGAAGACCCUAUGAAUUUUUUUUUAAAAAUUUAUUUAUAACUUUUAAGAUAAUAAGUUAAAUUGGAUUUUAAGUUGAUUGGGGCGAUUUUUAAAGAUUAAGUAUCUUUAAAAUUUUUGUUAAUUUGAUCCAUAAUUUAUGAUUGUUUGAUUAAAAUACUCUAGGGAUAACAGCGUGAUUAUUUUGGAUAGUUCAUAUAGAUAAAAUAGUUUGCGACCUCGAUGUUGGAUUAAGAUUCUUAUAUAAUGUAGUAGUUAUGUAAGAAGUUGCUCACUUUGA
Molecule: ribosomal RNA, 415 nt
Filed under: Antricola delacruzi
Lineage: Eukaryota; Metazoa; Arthropoda; Arachnida; Ixodida; Argasidae
Description: partial 16S ribosomal RNA
Source: RNAcentral